Molecule: long non-coding RNA, 1282 nt
Organism: Cygnus olor (mute swan)
Lineage: Eukaryota; Metazoa; Chordata; Aves; Anseriformes; Anatidae
Exons: 3
Source: RefSeq, a predicted model, not a curated record
GCUCGUGCUCUGCAGACACAGACUUCUAAGCAAGAACUCACAGCAAAUCCAAAUUGAAAAUGAAUUGAGCUGGGGAAGAAAAGUUAACGCCUUCUCCUGUCCUGACUGCCCUGGGAUCAUCUGGAGGUAUAACCACGUAAAUCCCCUGAGGAUACGUCUCCAACUCUCCCUUAACAUGCUGUUCCCUGAUCACGUUGGAAAUCCACCCAAUUUAGAUUUAAUCUCAGUGAAAUCUAUCCACAACUGACUUUCUAAAUUUGCAAUACUAUUUUUUUGGCACUUUUUUGUAUGUUAUUAUGUUUAGGUGUAUUUCUGCUGAAGACAUCCCAAAGCCUGUUUCUCUGUUGGGGCAUCUGUGUAUGGAGAGCAAGGGUCCCUAAAAACUAGAGAUGAAACUAUUGACUAAGACUCCAGCAUAGGAGCAAAUUGCUUCCUCUGUCACUCAUUGCUGCAUGAUGUUAGAAUUGUACCUACUCCCCGCCUUUGUUUGCUUACCUAAAACAUGACCAUAGUAUUUUCCAAAUAUUUUUUACUUUACAAGUUAAGAUGCUGCAUUGCAUGGAGCAGAAGUACAACCAUUCACCCCACCCAAAAAGGAAGCUCCGAGCUUGUAAUGAAUGGGUUCAUAAAAUUUAGAAGUAAAAAAUAAAUAGUAAGUUGCAUGGAAAGAUACAGAAACAGAUGGAUUUAUAUAAAUUCAGGUUGUAAAGGUUUGUGCUUUUUUUUUUCUUUAAAUUAAAUAAUUGUAAGCAGUAACCAGCUGUAGUAUUAUUCUUCACUGUGUAAUCUGCACAGUGAAAUGUAAACAGGGGGUCAGGCUCUCCUGUGGCCAUCUGACCCUCUCAGCAGGAAAAGGGGGCACUGAGAGAGGCUGUGCACAGAGGAGCGUACAAGGAUAUUCAUGAGCUGGGAACUUUUGCAGCAAAAAAUAGCUUUCCUGCAUAGUCAAUGGUGCAUAGCGUUUGGUUUAAAAACCCUUAUUAAAUUAAGAGGAGCUUUCUGCAUCCAGCAGCCUUUGCUGCUGCUGUCGUGUACUUCCAUAAUGUUGUUGAGAACACUGGAGCUUAAUAUCAACUUGAAGGUUUAGAAAAAUGCAAUAACAUUCAGAUACAACUUGAUUACAGACGGAACAGAGAUACGGAACAUGAAAACUGAUAUGUCUGGGGAAUCUAGCUCUUCUGAAUCUCUUUGUUCCUCAGAAAAAUUCCUUCUUAAAAAAUAAACGUCUAUCUGUAUGUAUAUAUGCAUUCCUUUGUCAACACAGGAAGAUGGAGGGAUUGGC